UGGAAUUCCAGGUGUAGCGGUGAAAUGCGUAGAUAUCUGGAGGAACAUCAGUGGCGAAGGCGACUCCCUGGCCAAAGACUGACGCUCAUGUGCGAAAGUGUGGGUAGCGAACAGGAUUAGAUACCCUGGUAGUCCACACCGUAAACGAUGAAUGCCAGUCGUCGGGCAGUAUACUGUUCGGUGACACACCUAACGGAUUAAGCAUUCCGCCUGGGGAGUACGGUCGCAAGAUUAAAACUCAAAGGAAUUGACGGGGGCUCACACAAGCGGUGGAGCAUGUUGCUUAAUUCGAAGCAACGCGAAGAACCUUACCAGGGUUUGACAUGCACGGAUUACCUCUAUGAAAGUAGAGUUACGCUCGCAAGAGUGGAACGUGCACAGGUGCUGCAUGGCUGUCGUCAGCUCGUGCUGUG
RNAcentral lists this ribosomal RNA (413 nucleotides) under Symbiodinium sp. CCMP2430. Its description in RNAcentral is "partial Bacterial small subunit ribosomal RNA". It matches the Rfam family "Bacterial small subunit ribosomal RNA", at positions 662 to 1069 of the family's 1533-position model. The record is from RNAcentral. Lineage: Eukaryota; Dinophyceae; Suessiales; Symbiodiniaceae.